RNAcentral lists this ribosomal RNA (462 nucleotides) under uncultured bacterium. RNAcentral's name for it is "bacterial SSU rRNA". It matches the Rfam family "Bacterial small subunit ribosomal RNA", at positions 339 to 794 of the family's 1533-position model. The record is from RNAcentral.
CUACGGGAGGCAGCAGUGGGGAAUAUUGGACAAUGGGCGAAAGCCUGAUCCAGCAAUACCGCGUGUGUGAAGAAGGCCUGAGGGUUGUAAAGCACUUUUAAUCGGGAGGAACAUCUACGGGCCAAUACCCCGUAGUCUGACAUUACCGAUAGAAAAAGCACCGGCUAACUCCGUGCCAGCAGCCGCGGUAAUACGGAGGGUGCAAGCGUUAAUCGGAAUUACUGGGCGUAAAGCGUGCGUAGGCGGUUGCUUAAGUCAGAUGUGAAAGCCCCGGGCUUAACCUGGGAACUGCAUUUGAUACUGGGCGACUAGAGUUGAGUAGAGGAGAGUGGAAUUUCAGGUGUAGCGGUGAAAUGCGUAGAGAUCUGAAGGAACACCAGUGGCGAAGGCGACUCUCUGGACUCAAACUGACGCUGAGGUACGAAAGCGUGGGUAGCAAACAGGAUUAGAUACCCCGGUAGU